Caretta caretta (loggerhead turtle) is the source of this 318-nucleotide long non-coding RNA. RefSeq lists it as uncharacterized. Lineage: Eukaryota; Metazoa; Chordata; Testudines; Cheloniidae. The record is from RefSeq and is a predicted model, not a curated record.
UAGAGCCUUAUGUCUGAGGAUCUAAAAGGACUUUUGAAUAUGAACCAAUCUUCAUAAUACUCCUGAGAGUGCAAUUACUCGAAGAAUAAGGUGCAACUCAAAGUGAGAAAUGCUAAGAUACUAUGGUGAUGGACAGCAGUAUAACACCCAAAGACAAAGGGCUCUGUUGUGCCAUCAAGACGCUGUCCUGAGCUGGAGGCAGGAUGGAGAAGCAACACACUGGGAAGGCACAAGGAGUCCAGCUGCUGCUCCUCCUUUUAAGGGGAUGCGGCAUGUGCUGUCCUUCUACAUCCAGCCAACUCUGCUGGCCGGUGCAGC